Molecule: ribosomal RNA, 491 nt
Filed under: uncultured bacterium
Lineage: Bacteria
Description: partial 16S ribosomal RNA
Rfam family: Bacterial small subunit ribosomal RNA
Source: RNAcentral
GUGAACGCUGGCGGUAGGCCUAACACAUGCAGGUCGAACGGCAGCACAGUAAGAGCUUGCUCUUACGGGUGGCGAGUGGCGGACGGGUGAGGAAUACAUCGGAAUCUACUUUUUCGUGGGGGAUAGCGUAGGGAAACUUACGCUAAUACCGCAUACGACCUACGGGUGAAAGCAGGGGAUCUUCGGACCUUGCGCGAUUGAAUGAGCCGAUGUCGGAUUAGCUAGUUGGCGGGGUAAAGGCCCACCAAGGCGACGAUCCGUAGCUGGUCUGAGAGGAUGAUCAGCCACACUGGAACUGAGACACGGUCCAGACUCCUACGGGAGGCAGCAGUGGGGAAUAUUGGACAAUGGGCGCAAGCCUGAUCCAGCCAUACCGCGUGGGUGAAGAAGGCCUUCGGGUUGUAAAGCCCUUUUGUUGGGAAAGAAAAGCAGCAGGUUAAUACCCCGCUGUUCUGACGGUACCCAAAGAAUAAGCACCGGCUAACUUCGUG